RNAcentral lists this ribosomal RNA (470 nucleotides) under uncultured bacterium. RNAcentral describes it as "partial 16S ribosomal RNA". It matches the Rfam family "Bacterial small subunit ribosomal RNA", at positions 28 to 507 of the family's 1533-position model. The record is from RNAcentral.
GGUGAACGCUGGCGGCGUGCCUAAGACAUGCAAGUCGAGCGGGGCAGGUUUAUACCUGUUCAGCGGCGGACGGGUGAGUAACGCGUGGGUGACCUACCCGGAAGAGGCGGACAACCUGGGGAAACCCAGGCUAAUCCGCCAUGUGGUCCUGUCCUGUGGGGCAGGACUAAAGGGUGGAUAGCCCGCUUCCGGAUGGGCCCGCGUCCCAUCAGCUAGUUGGUGGGGUAAAGGCCCACCAAGGCGACGACGGGUAGCCGGUCUGAGAGGAUGGCCGGCCACAGGGGCACUGAGAACCGGGCCCCACACCCACGCGAGACAGCAGUGAGAAAUCUUCCGGAAUGGGCGCAAGCCUGACGGGGCGACGCCGCUUGGAAGAGGAAGCCCUUCGGGGUGUAAACUCCUGAACUGGGGACGAAAGCCCCGUGUAGGGGGAUGACGUUCCCCAGGUAAUAGCGCCGGCCAACUCCGUG